This 253-nucleotide ribosomal RNA is filed under the name uncultured bacterium. Its description in RNAcentral is "partial 16S ribosomal RNA". It matches the Rfam family "Bacterial small subunit ribosomal RNA", at positions 524 to 776 of the family's 1533-position model. The record is from RNAcentral.
UACGUAGGCAGCGAGCGUUGUUCGGAGUUACUGGGCGUAAAGCGCGCGCAGGCGGUUUUCCAAGUCAGUGGUGAAAGCCCGGAGCUCAACUCCGGAAAUGCCAUUGAAACUGCAAAACUUGAGUACGAGAGAGGUGAGUGGAAUUCCCAGUGUAGAGGUGAAAUUCGUAGAUAUUGGGAAGAACACCGGUGGCGAAGGCGGCUCACUGGCUCGUAACUGACGCUCAGGCGCGAUAGCGUGGGGAUCAAACAGG